UACGUAGGUCCCGAGCGUUGUCCGGAUUUAUUGGGCGUAAAGCGAGCGCAGGUGGUUUAUUAAGUCUGGUGUAAAAGGCAGUGGCUCAACCAUUGUAUGCAUUGGAAACUGGUAGACUUGAGUGCAGUAGAGGAGAGUGGAAUUCCAUGUGUAGCGGUGAAAUGCGUAGAUAUAUGGAGGAACACCGGUGGCGAAAGCGGCUCUCUGGACUGUAACUGACACUGAGGCUCGAAAGCGUGGGUAGCAAACAGG
RNAcentral lists this ribosomal RNA (252 nucleotides) under uncultured microorganism. RNAcentral's name for it is "partial 16S ribosomal RNA". It matches the Rfam family "Bacterial small subunit ribosomal RNA", at positions 524 to 776 of the family's 1533-position model. The record is from RNAcentral.